UUAGAGUUUGAUCAUGGCUCAGGACGAACGCUGGCGGCGUGCUUAACACAUGCAAGUCGAACGGAUGUAGCAAUACAUUAGUGGCGGACGGGUGAGUAACACGUGAGCAACCUGCCUUAAUCAGGGGGAUAACAUUCAGAAAUGAGUGCUAAUACCGCAUAAGACCACAGUAUGGCAUCAUACAGGGGUCAAAGGAGUAAUCCGGAUUAAGAUGGGCUCGCGUCCCAUUAGGUAGUUGGUGAGGUAACGGCCCACCAAGCCUGCGAUGGGUAGCCGACCUGAGAGGGUGAUCGGCCACACUGGAACUGAGAAACGGUCCAGACUCCUACGGGAGGCAGCAGUGGGGAAUAUUGGUCAAUGGGGGAAACCCUGAACCAGCAACGCCGCGUGAGUGAAGAAGGUCUUCGGAUUGUAAAGCUCUGUGAAGAGGGAAGAAAAAAAUGACGGUACCUCUAAAGCAAGCCACGGCAAACUACGUGCCAGCAGCCGCGGUAAUACGUAGGUGGCAAGCGUUGUCCGGAAUGACUGGGCGUAAAGGGUGCGUAGGCGGCUUAUCAAGUUAGAAGUGUAAUACCUGAGCUUAACUUAGGUGCUACUUCUAAAACUGGUGAGCUUGAGUGUGGGAGAGGUAAGUGG
This 636-nucleotide ribosomal RNA is filed under the name uncultured Eubacteriales bacterium. Its description in RNAcentral is "bacterial SSU rRNA". It matches the Rfam family "Bacterial small subunit ribosomal RNA", at positions 1 to 664 of the family's 1533-position model. Lineage: Bacteria; Bacillati; Bacillota; Clostridia; Eubacteriales. The record is from RNAcentral.